UACAGGGGGUGCAAACGUUGCUCGGAAUCAUUGGGCGUAAAGCGCGCGUAGGCGGCUACUUAAGUCGGAUGUGAAAGCCCUCGGCUUAACUGAGGAAGUGCAUCCGAAACUGAGUAGCUCGAGUGCAAAAGAGGGUCGCGGAAUUCCCGGUGUAGAGGUGAAAUUCGUAGAUAUCGGGAGGAACACCGGUGGCGAAGGCGGCGACCUGGGUUGAUACUGACGCUGAGGCGCGAAAGCGUGGGGAGCAAACAGG
Molecule: ribosomal RNA, 253 nt
Filed under: uncultured bacterium
Lineage: Bacteria
Description: partial 16S ribosomal RNA
Rfam family: Bacterial small subunit ribosomal RNA
Source: RNAcentral